RNAcentral lists this ribosomal RNA (320 nucleotides) under uncultured eukaryote. Its description in RNAcentral is "partial 18S ribosomal RNA". It matches the Rfam family "Eukaryotic small subunit ribosomal RNA", at positions 1470 to 1796 of the family's 1831-position model. The record is from RNAcentral.
CCCUUAGAUGUUCUGGGCCGCACGCGCGCUACACUGACGAAUGCAACGAGCUUAUAACCUUGGCCGAAAGGUCUGGGUAAUCUCCAAAUUUCGUCGUGAUGGGGAUAGACUUUUGCAAUUUUUGGUCUUCAACGAGGAAUUCCUAGUAAACGCAAGUCAUCAGCUUGCAUUGAUUACGUCCCUGCCCUUUGUACACACCGCCCGUCGCACCUACCGAUUGAAUGGUCCGGUGAAAUCUCGGGACGGCGGCUUGGUCGCUUGCGUCCGACUGCUGAAACUUGAUUAAACCAUAUCAUUUAGAGGAAGGUGAAGUCGUAACA